AAAAGGAGUAGGUAGUUUAACCUUCGGGAGGACGCUUACCACUUUGUGGUUCAUGACUGGGGUGAAGUCGUAACAAGGUAGCGCUAGGGGAACCUGGCGCUGGAUCACCUCCUUAAACGAUGAU
Molecule: ribosomal RNA, 124 nt
Filed under: Vibrio alginolyticus
Lineage: Bacteria; Pseudomonadati; Pseudomonadota; Gammaproteobacteria; Vibrionales; Vibrionaceae
Description: partial 16S ribosomal RNA
Rfam family: Bacterial small subunit ribosomal RNA
Source: RNAcentral